This 450-nucleotide ribosomal RNA is filed under the name uncultured bacterium. Its description in RNAcentral is "bacterial SSU rRNA". It matches the Rfam family "Bacterial small subunit ribosomal RNA", at positions 331 to 795 of the family's 1533-position model. The record is from RNAcentral.
CCAGACUCCUACGGGAGGCAGCAGUGGGGAAUAUUGGGCAAUGGGCGCAAGCCUGACCCAGCAACGCCGCGUGAAGGAAGAAGGCUUUCGGGUUGUAAACUUCUUUUCUGGGGGACGAAGAAAGUGACGGUACCCCAGGAAUAAGCCACGGCUAACUACGUGCCAGCAGCCGCGGUAAUACGUAGGUGGCAAGCGUUAUCCGGAUUUAUUGGGUGUAAAGGGCGUGUAGGCGGGAAUGCAAGUCAGAUGUGAAAACUAUGGGCUCAACCCAUAGCCUGCAUUUGAAACUGUAUUUCUUGAGUGCUGGAGAGGCAAUCGGAAUUCCGUGUGUAGCGGUGAAAUGCGUAGAUAUUAGGAGGAACACCAGUGGCGAAGGCGGCCUGCUGGACGACAACUGACGGUGAGGCGCGAAAGCGUGGGGAGCAAACAGGAUUAGAUACCCCCGUAUUU